This 27-nucleotide non-coding RNA is filed under the name Mus musculus (house mouse). Lineage: Eukaryota; Metazoa; Chordata; Mammalia; Rodentia; Muridae. The record is from RNAcentral.
GAACCUUCUGCUUCCGUCUCAUUGGUC